CCUACGGGCGGCAGCAGUGGGGAAUAUUGGACAAUGGGGGGAACCCUGAUCCAGCGACGCCGCGUGAGUGAAGAAGUAUUUCGGUAUGUAAAGCUCUAUCAGCAGGGAAGAAAGAAAUGACGGUACCUGACUAAGAAGCCCCGACUAACUACGUGCCAGCAGCCGCGGUAAUACGUAGGGGGCAAGCGUUAUCCGGAUUUACUGGGUGUAAAGGGAGCGUAGACGGCGAUGCAAGUCUGAAGUGAAAGGCGGGGGCCCAACCCCCGGACUGCUUUGGAAACUGGAUGGCGGGAGUGCAGGGGAGGUAAGUGGAAUUCCUAGUGUAGCGGUGAAAUGCGUAGAUAUUAGGAGGAACACCAGUGGCGAAGGCGGCUUACUGGACUGUAACUGACGUUGAGGCUCGAAAGCGUGGGGAGCAAACAGGAUUAGAUACCCUUGUAGUC
Molecule: ribosomal RNA, 443 nt
Filed under: uncultured bacterium
Lineage: Bacteria
Description: partial 16S ribosomal RNA
Rfam family: Bacterial small subunit ribosomal RNA
Source: RNAcentral